This 253-nucleotide ribosomal RNA is filed under the name uncultured bacterium. RNAcentral's name for it is "partial 16S ribosomal RNA". It matches the Rfam family "Archaeal small subunit ribosomal RNA", at positions 474 to 727 of the family's 1478-position model. The record is from RNAcentral.
UACCAGCACCCCGAGUGGUCGGGACGAUUAUUGGGCCUAAAGCAUCCGUAGCCGGUUCUGCAAGUCCCCCGUUAAAUCCAGCUGCUCGACAGAUGGGCCGCGGAGGAUACUACAGAGCUAGGAGGCAGGAGAGGCAAGCGGUACUCAGUGGGUAGGGGUAAAAUCCGUUGAUCCAUUGAAGACCACCAGUGGCGAAGGCGGCUUGCCAGAAUGCGCUCGACGGUGAGGGAUGAAAGCUGGGGGAGCAAACCGG